This is a long non-coding RNA of Lytechinus pictus (painted urchin), 832 nucleotides long. RefSeq lists it as uncharacterized. The record is from RefSeq and is a predicted model, not a curated record. NCBI's taxonomy places the organism in Eukaryota, Metazoa, Echinodermata, Echinoidea, Temnopleuroida, Toxopneustidae. The transcript has 4 exons.
UAGACCGAAAGCUGCGUGCGCGUUCAGCACAAAACAAAUGAGAUUAGGCUCCGCCUACCGCGAUCAUUUGAAGACAAAAAUAAGCCCUCAUUGACAUUCAUGAGCAUGAAGAUAUUCAUAAUCCGGCCUUUUCAUUGGCUAAGAGCGUCAUUAAUACGCAAUUUCCCCGAUUCUUUGUCAUCGAUACUAGUGGUAUCGUGUUACAGAAUUAAUUAUUCAUUUGACCUCAUUACGUCAUCUAAUUUAUUCAUUCUGAAACUUUUCUUUCCACACAAAAAUGGACCUACGAACACUCCGGUUGAGUUUGAAGAACAAGAAAAACAGUAGAGGUCUACCCGGUACCUAUGGUUAAACAUGAUGAUCAUAAGUGCAUGCAUCAUUUUGCAGAUUCUCAUCCAGGAUGAUGCAGCUCUACAAUUUCCAUGGAGUUGAUUGAUGAUGAUAAACAAUUGGUGAAGUAGGCCUAAUAGAACAGUGAUAGGACCACAAAGAGAAAUACAACCUACAGCAGUUAUAUGAGACUGGUGUAACAGAUGUUUUCAUUCAAGAAAUCCAACAAAUUGACGAGUGACUUAGCUUAGGAAGCACUUGAUAAAGAUGGAAAAGUUUUUUUUUUUUCAAGUCCCUUUUUUUUUAUUUUAAAUACAACCCCAAAUUCAAAGUAUUGAAAUUUCCUGUUGAUUUUCAUUAAAACUGGUUGCAAAAGGAGAAGCUAUAAACAUACAAAUAGGAGCGGCGAAGUGAAGUUGAAAGUGGGGGGGGGGGGGCACAGGGAAAAUGCUGUAUUAUGUGAAAUUUUUAAGAAGUUGCGAGAGCAAAAUUUUGACAUUUU